AAAUGGAUAGCUCAGUUGGCAGAGCAGAAGCCUGAAAAGCUUUGUGUCGGCGUUCAAUUCCGUCUCUACUCA
Molecule: transfer RNA, 72 nt
Filed under: Vannella croatica
Lineage: Eukaryota; Discosea; Flabellinia; Vannellidae
Description: tRNA-Phe
Rfam family: tRNA
About the family: Transfer RNA (tRNA) molecules are approximately 80 nucleotides in length. Their secondary structure includes four short double-helical elements and three loops (D, anti-codon, and T loops).
Source: RNAcentral